GUAUCAAAUAUUUAUUAAUGACAUUUUUCAAAUAAAAUACUUAAUUGUAUAAAACACAUAUAUAUUACUAUGAUCCUGAAACAUAUCUUAAAAUUUACAAUUGCACAAGACUAUGUGAACAUGAGUUGUCUCCCAUACAUUAGCUAAAAUAAAAGCAAUGCAUUUAGUGGCAGACUGACAUUUAAAUAAAUGGGCUUCAAAAAAGAGACAACUGCAAAACAUGAGUAUAAAUGAUAGACCUGAUUUGAUUGCCAAAGAACCAUACUUUAAUAUGUUUUACAAAAGGCUCAAGAUAAAAAUGAAAAUUAACCUAUUUUCUGUUCCAGAUUUAAUAUAAAGCAUACCUAGUAAAGCUUAACAAGCUUGUUAUAUGAAUCUUAGGAGUAUGAAUUGUUUUGCAUAUUUACAAAAGAAAUAAAAGAAAAAAACUCAUAGCUUUCAAUGGAAUUCAUGCAUUUACAAACUGGCAGGUUUUGAUACACUGGCUCAUACAAGUUUUGUCUACCCUGAUUCAUUUGAAAACAAGUGUUGAUUUAUAUCAUGCAGCAAGAUGGAUUGAGUUUUAAAUUUUACUUUUGUAUGUAUGAAAACUCUGCAAGCAUGUCCACUGGGAAUUUAAUAUUAGUAUGUACCCAGUACAGUAAAUUAAGAAAUUAUUGAGUGCAUUAUUAUUGCGAUUUUGUCAUUUUAAACUAAAAAGCAAUUUUUAAAAUGAAAUGUGAGUUUAAAUUAUUGCAAUUAAAACUCUGUCACUUUUUUUCGUAAAAAUUUCUGAAUUUACAGUACUUAAAUCCUUCAACAAUACUGUCUAAUAAUUCCUAAAUGGUGGAAUUUUUAAACGAGUCUUCAUUGAUACAUAGAGAACCUACUACGAAUGGGAAAAGGUACAAUUUCAGAUUAAGGAUAAUAAAAAACCUGAAACUCUAAAAUAAAGAAACAAAAAUUUAAAUGUUAACAAACUGACCAUUUGAUUUGAGGAAAGUUAUCAAAGUUUAUUUAUUACAAUAACGACAGUUAAAUUAACUGUUUUUCUUCACAUGAAAUAACAAAUUCAUAUAUGACAUUCUAAAUGAAUAUUUAAAAAAAAAAAUCAAUACAAACUGUACAUCUGACAUUAACAUGAUAUAAUAUUAAUAAACAAUAAUGUAGAAUUAAUGUGUUGACUUAUUUCACCAAUAUCUAAUUUACUAAUUUUGUUCCCAUGCCAUUAUCCUUAUAUUUUUCCUCAUUCCCACAGUUGUAAAAUUCUGUCGAAUAUAUUUCUAAAGAGUUAGAUUUCACACAGUAAAUUCUAUAAGGACUAUUUUAUUAAAGACAUGUAGAAACAAAAAGCCGACCAUUUCUAACUCAGGACGACGGCAACUUCAUAAUAGAAUAAUUAGUUUGGUGUUAUUUUUUCUGUCUUGUUUAGAAAAUUUUUCCAUAUAACAUGAUUCUUAUAAAGACUGGCACUUAAUUAUUAGCAAACAUUCAGUAGAAAUAAAAACUAAAAUGAAACAUGGAAAAGGUCCAAAAUUAACUCCCUUCCCUACUCAAUAAUAUUCAAUUGAUAUGAAUAUAACCUUUUUAAAAAAUGCUGCUUUCUGUUUCAAGUAAGGAUAAAAGUUAACAGAAUGCUUAUUGCAAAACAUAGAUAACAUUUUAGCAUGGCAUUCCUAAAUAUAUAAUGUAUCCAGAUAUGAUCAUAUCAUUGAAGACUGAUACUUUAAAAUAGGAUUAAUAUAUUCAGCUAUAUACAAUAAUUUCU
Molecule: long non-coding RNA, 1747 nt
Filed under: Mytilus galloprovincialis (Mediterranean mussel)
Lineage: Eukaryota; Metazoa; Mollusca; Bivalvia; Mytilida; Mytilidae
Source: RNAcentral